Molecule: long non-coding RNA, 2377 nt
Organism: Strigops habroptila (Kakapo)
Lineage: Eukaryota; Metazoa; Chordata; Aves; Psittaciformes; Psittacidae
Exons: 2
Source: RefSeq, a predicted model, not a curated record
CAUGUGGUAGUAGUUGUGCAAACCAUCUCCCUGUGUAUUAUGCUAACAGUAAUUGUGAUUUUGCAACACUGGCAGGUGCUUUUAUUUCUUGCAUUAAGUAAAUGAAUGCAUUAAAAUGUUAGCACCUUUCGUUAUGUCAUGGGUAUGCUUUUAAGUAUUCAUUUUAUGGCCAGGUAUACUUAAAACUUUAGCAGUUGUUCAUCCUAUGUUUUGUGCAGUUGAUAGUAGUGUGCAAAAUAAGGACUGUUUGUAAAUGAGUCAUUCAGCUUUGUAAAGUGUAAUUGGUAUGACACCUGUUCUGUCAAAGAGUAAUUUUUUUUUUUUUUUCUUUUUUUUUGGGGGGGGUGGAUAGGUAGAUGUGUUGGGCAUCUGUCUACAGUAGGGGCUCGUAGUUGGGUCUUCAAGUUUUUGUCUUUGAGUUCCUUUUGCCACUGUUUCUGAUUUGAUGGCAGAGCAGGUUGCUGUGAUUCCAUAAUGCUUUCAUUUCCCUCCUUUCCAAAAAAACUUCUUGAAGAGUCUUGUUUCCUUGUCUCUUAAAGGGAAAGGCUUGUCUAUUUUUGUAUGUGUGUGCAUAGUGUCAAAGGCUAGUCACUGGACUUGUGUUUGUUUAUGGUUUAACUUUCCCAUUGCUGAAUUGAUUCUGCAGUGUUUCCUCUUUGUGUUAGGUACUGUUCUUUGUGUUUGCUAGUAUUUGUCUUUGUUUUGUGGUGCUGAAGUGUAUUUCCUAAGAGUUUGUUCACUUGCAUCCACCAAGUAAGGCAUGGUACCCCUGGAGGUAUCUCACGAAAUGUCUAGGUUGGGGUUGGUGGAGGUUUUCCUUUGGUUUUUGAGUGGAGAAGGGAGGUUGGUCAUCUUAAGUUAAGUUAGAGCUCUCUGCUGGCCGUAAUAAACUUAGAAAAAGCUACGUAAUUUUCAGACUUCUUUACAAGGGCAUUUUGAUAAAUAUAAUGUUCUGAUGCAUGACUCUCAAACCUGGCUUCUGUUAUUGGUGGGAUUGCCGUGUAAAGUGAUAUUGUUGUAUCUAUUGAAUUAUAACCUCAACAUUUGAUUUAAUCAUCAGUAGUGACUGAGGGUAACUGACCAGUGACACUUUCAAAAUUUUAACGGAAUAUUUACUUUUUUUUUUUAUUUUAUUCAAAUAGCAUUGUAAACUUUUAAAAGGAGGAUUUGUAAUACUUUCUUCCAGUAAUACCCAGAGUGAGUAUCUUUCUAAUCCUCCUAAGUUUUUAUAGAUGCACAUUUACUUGGAGGGCUAGUGCCCUCUAAUUGUGCUUCUUAGGACCAACGUAUUUACAAAUUCUUCUGUACAGGGCGAAAAUAAGCAGUGCUUUCCUGUUGAAAACAGGUUGGACAGAUAUAAACAUUAAGACUAAAAGUGAUACAUGCUACAUUAUACUGUACCUUUUGUUUACUAUAUAUAAUUUUCCAUGCUUGUGUUUUAAUGCUCCUUUCUGGUUAUUGGAGGAGUCAUUUAGGAAAUUCUUCUGUGCCAUAAAUACUGUAUUAGUCUCUCCAUGUUUAUUUUGAAAGAACAUCUGAAAUAUUCAUCACUUCUAGCAGGCAAACGCUCAUUGAAGAAAGAGUCUUUGUGAAUGCAUAGUAAUGGAUACUAAGGAAGAAAUGUACUGAUGCUUUUUCUUACUGUUUAUACUGUGUGUUAUCCCCAGUUAUGCAGACACUUCAAUUUCAUUCCUGAUAAUGGAAAGUCUACAUAGAAGAGAUACAUACUUAAAAAUUCAUUCACCUGUAUUUCAAAAGACAUAUUAUACACCCUGCUUCACUUACUAUAAUUUUCCCUUUAGCUACUUAGCAGUGUUCUCACUCCAUCUGGCAGUGCAAUGCACCCCUCUUUAAAAGUAGGAAAAUGUUUGCAGUCAUGUGCAAUUUUAUUAACACAGAGCUCAGAAGAAUGGGACAGUUGAACAUGGCAUCAUAAUUGUCAGGGAAAUCUACACUUGUAAAGGAUAGACAGCAGUGACACCAGUAAGGAAACCUUGUGCAGAUCAAGAUACAGCUGUUGAAGUAGUACAGUCCAUGGUCUUUCUACUAGGUUCUGUGGAGCCAAGGCUGCUAUUUGGAUGGCUGCAGAUGUUUGCUGCGUUGAUAGAGAUUUAAAACAAAAAAAAGGAAAAGGAAAAAAAAAAGGGGGGGAAGAGACUGUGAGAGCGAUCCAGAGUAAUAUAUGCAGUGCUAAAUACAAGCAAGUCAAUGGAUGGAAUUGCACUGCAGUGGAAUUUUACAGAGGAAGAAGACAGAAUGGUGUAAUACAUGUUGGAAAGGAUGUUGUCCAGAAAAUACUGACCUUAUUCUUUGUGGUUUUUAAAGGGACAUUAUUACCUUGGAACGUAUUCCUUCAGUAAACACUGAUUAAAAUUGC